Molecule: ribosomal RNA, 478 nt
Filed under: uncultured bacterium
Lineage: Bacteria
Description: partial 16S ribosomal RNA
Rfam family: Bacterial small subunit ribosomal RNA
Source: RNAcentral
GAUGAACGCUGACGGCGUGCUUAACACAUGCAAGUCGAACGAGAAGUGGAGACGGAAACCUUCGGGCGGAAGACUUUACUUCGAGUGGCGGACGGGUGAGUAACGCGUGGGUAACCUGCCUCAUACAGGGGGAUAACAGUUGGAAACGACUGUUAAUACCGCAUAAGACCACAGCACCGCAUGGUGCGGGGGUAAAAACUCCGGUGGUAUGAGAUGGACCCGCGUUCGAUUAGCCAGUUGGCGGGGUAACGGCCCACCAAAGCGACGAUCGAUAGCCGAUCUGAGAGGAUGACCGGCCACAUUGGGACUGAGACACGGCCCAAACUCCUACGGGAGGCAGCAGUGGGGAAUAUUGCACAAUGGGGGAAACCCUGAUGCAGCGACGCCGCGUGAGUGAAGAAGUAUUUCGGUAUGUAAAGCUCUAUCAGCAGGGAAGAAAAUGACAGUACCUGAGUAAGAAGCCCCGGCUAACUACGUG